Molecule: ribosomal RNA, 80 nt
Filed under: Polymyxa graminis
Lineage: Eukaryota; Endomyxa; Phytomyxea; Plasmodiophorida; Plasmodiophoridae
Description: partial 28S ribosomal RNA
Source: RNAcentral
AGAAAAACCAUACACAAGAUCUCAGAUGAGGUAAGGACUACCCCGCCCGAAUUUAAAGCAUAUCAAAUAAAGCGGGAGGA